GAGCUCACUUUGGCAGUACGCAUACUAAAAUUGGGAAUGAUAUAGAGAAGAUUAGCAUGGCCCUUGUGCAAGGAUAACACACCAAAUAAACUUUGUGUUCUAAAUUCUC
Molecule: small nuclear RNA, 109 nt
Organism: Dromiciops gliroides (monito del monte)
Lineage: Eukaryota; Metazoa; Chordata; Mammalia; Microbiotheria; Microbiotheriidae
Source: RefSeq, a predicted model, not a curated record